This 139-nucleotide unclassified non-coding RNA is filed under the name soil metagenome. RNAcentral's name for it is "partial internal transcribed spacer 1". The record is from RNAcentral.
CCUAGAGUUGUAGGCUUUGCCUGCUAUCUCUUACCCAUGUCUUUUGAGUACCUUACGUUUCCUCGGCGGGUCCGCCCGCCGAUUGGACAAUUUAAACCAUUUGCAGUUGCAAUCAGUGUCUGAAAAAACUUAAUAGUUA